UCGGGAAUUUUGGGCAAUGGGCGCAAGCCUGACCCAGCAACGCCGCGUGAAGGAUGAAGUUUCUCGGAAUGUAAACUUCAUAAGAAUGGGAAGAAUAAGUAGGGGAUAAUACCCUCUAUGAUGACGGUACCAUUUGUAAGCUCCGGCUAACUCCGUGCCAGCAGCCGCGGUAAUACGGGGGGAGCAAGCGUUGUUCGGAUUUACUGGGCGUAAAGGGCGCGUAGGCGGCGCGACAAGUCAGUUGUGAAAUCUCUGGGCUUAACUCAGAGCGGCCAACUGAUACUGUCGUGCUAGAGUGCGGAAGGGGCAACUGGAAUUCUCGGUGUAGCGGUGAAAUGCGUAGAUAUCGAGAGGAACACCUGCGGCGAAGGCGGGUUGCUGGGCCGACACUGACGCUGAGGCGCGAAAGCCAGGGGAGCGAACGG
This 425-nucleotide ribosomal RNA is filed under the name uncultured bacterium. RNAcentral's name for it is "bacterial SSU rRNA". It matches the Rfam family "Bacterial small subunit ribosomal RNA", at positions 355 to 775 of the family's 1533-position model. The record is from RNAcentral.